AAUCUAAUGCGCAUCUUCUUUUAGUGUUUCCCUUGGUGUACCAUAAGAGAUGGUGAGUUUUGUUUCUAGGAACGCGCUUUUGUUGAUGUCAUUUUGCUUCCUUGCUUUGCUUCUGUUGUGUGCUGAGGCCGGAUCUCUUGUGGGAGUUUCUCUUCUGUUUUCUUCCCCAGUAUUGGGGACGCAGGCUUGGGACUAUGUUGGAGUCAAGCUUGAUUGGUUGGAUGGUUGGGUUGUGCCUCCAUGGUUUUAGGUUGUGAGCUUCGAGUUGUGACACUGAUAUUAAGCCUGUCGCGGCUACACACACUGACAACAUCUGGUUCCUGUUUUCUCCAGGAUUGACUGUUAUUCUAUAUGAGUUCAUAUAGAACUAGAAGGAAAUGAGAAGGCUGACACACUCGCCAAGAGUGGGAGAACUAACACACUAAUAAACUCUGCACUCUAUCCAGAAGAAUUGAAGAAAUUAAUCGUAAAUAAAAUAAAUGAGAAAUGGACGAGCUCUCAUCCAAAUCACAAGAAAGAUGACGCUUACUAUAAGCUAUCCCGACAAGACCAACGUCUAAUCUUUCGACUCAGGACCGGACACAACAGAAUGUGACAACACAUGUACCGGAAGCUCAAAAUUGGAACCAGUGAAAUCUGCCCAUGUGGAGUAUCACCAGAGAAUGCAGACCACGUCCUCCAAAACUGCUCUCUCUACCAAAAGGCCCGUAUAAGACAUUGGCCCCAAAUCACCCCAAUAGAAAGGAAACUAUAUGGAGAGCUCCCUUAUUUGGAAACCACUGCGCAGUUCAUCUCAUGUAUUGGUCUACUCAUCUGAACACUCCAACAUAACAAUGAACGAAGAAGAAGAAAGAGUGUUAUUCAUCUCAACAGUUGGACUGUUCCUGGAGGAAGAUCUACAUCUUUAAGGACCAGUUGGACACUUAGUCCCAAGUUCUACAUCUGGAAU
Biomphalaria glabrata is the source of this 949-nucleotide long non-coding RNA. RefSeq lists it as uncharacterized. The transcript has 3 exons. NCBI's taxonomy places the organism in Eukaryota, Metazoa, Mollusca, Gastropoda, Planorbidae. The record is from RefSeq and is a predicted model, not a curated record.